UACGUAGGGUGCGAGCGUUAAUCGGAAUUACUGGGCGUAAAGCGUGCGCAGGCGGUUUUGUAAGACAGGCGUGAAAUCCCCGGGCUUAACCUGGGAGUGGCGUUUGUGACUGCAAAGCUGGAGUGCGGCAGAGGGGGAUGGAAUUCCGCGUGUAGCAGUGAAAUGCGUAGAUAUGCGGAGGAACACCGAUGGCGAAGGCAAUCCCCUGGGCCUGCACUGACGCUCAUGCACGAAAGCGUGGGGAGCAAACAGG
Molecule: ribosomal RNA, 253 nt
Filed under: uncultured bacterium
Lineage: Bacteria
Description: partial 16S ribosomal RNA
Rfam family: Bacterial small subunit ribosomal RNA
Source: RNAcentral